Molecule: transfer RNA, 76 nt
Filed under: Rhizobium ruizarguesonis
Lineage: Bacteria; Pseudomonadati; Pseudomonadota; Alphaproteobacteria; Hyphomicrobiales; Rhizobiaceae
Description: tRNA-Thr
Rfam family: tRNA
About the family: Transfer RNA (tRNA) molecules are approximately 80 nucleotides in length. Their secondary structure includes four short double-helical elements and three loops (D, anti-codon, and T loops). Further hydrogen bonds mediate the characteristic L-shaped molecular structure. tRNAs have two regions of fundamental functional importance: the anti-codon, which is responsible for specific mRNA codon recognition, and the 3' end, to which the tRNAs corresponding amino acid is attached (by aminoacyl-tRNA synthetases). tRNAs cope with the degeneracy of the genetic code in two manners: having more than one tRNA (with a specific anti-codon) for a particular amino acid; and 'wobble' base-pairing, i.e. permitting non-standard base-pairing at the 3rd anti-codon position.
Source: RNAcentral
GCCGACAUAGCUCAGAUGGAAGAGCGUCUCCUUUGUAACGAGAAUGUCGCUGGUUCGAUUCCGGCUGUCGGCUCCA